GGCGUAGGAGACAAACGUUAUCCGGAGUUACUGGGCGUAAAGGGCGUGUAGGUGGUAUCGUAAGUCUGGCGUGAAAUUUCUCGGCUUAACCGAGGCAGGUCGUCGGAUACUGCGAGGCUAGAGGACGGUAGAGGCGUGUGGAAUUCCGGGUGUAGUGGUGAAAUGCGUAGAGAUCCGGAGGAACACCAGUGGCGAAGGCGACACGCUGGGCCGUACCUGACACUGAUGCGCGACAGCAUGGGGAGCAAACAGG
Molecule: ribosomal RNA, 253 nt
Filed under: uncultured bacterium
Lineage: Bacteria
Description: partial 16S ribosomal RNA
Rfam family: Bacterial small subunit ribosomal RNA
Source: RNAcentral